GUAAGCGCAAGUCAUCAGCUUGCGUUGACUACGUCCCUGCCCUUUGUACACACCGCCCGUCGCUACUACCGAUUGAAUGGCUCAGUGAGGCGUCCGGACUGGCCCAGGGAGGUGGGCAACUACCACCCAGGGCCGGAAAGCUCUCCAAACUCGGUCAUUUAGAGGAAGUAAAAGUCGUAACAAGGUCUCCGUUGGUGAACCAGCGGAGGGAUCAUUA
This 217-nucleotide ribosomal RNA is filed under the name Ophiocordyceps cochlidiicola. RNAcentral describes it as "partial 18S rRNA". It matches the Rfam family "Eukaryotic small subunit ribosomal RNA", at positions 1617 to 1831 of the family's 1831-position model. Lineage: Eukaryota; Fungi; Ascomycota; Sordariomycetes; Hypocreales; Ophiocordycipitaceae. The record is from RNAcentral.